GGGGCUGGGGUUCUGAGCUCUGAGCACUGAGCCUGGGAGUGGACCUGGGGUCCUGAGCUCUGAGCCUGGGAGUGGACCUGGGGUCCUGAGCGCUGAGCCUAGGAGCGGGGCUGGGGUCCUGAGUGCUGAGCAUUGCUUCCCCUGCUUUGCAGGCCCACUACGCAGUCCAGGCAAGAAGAUCCCGGAGCAUCACUAGGAAAAGAAAGCGGGAAGACUCUGCUCCUCCGUCCUCUGUGGCCCGGAGUGGGAGUUGCUCUCGAACUCCACGUGAUGUUUCUGGUCUUAGGGAUGUCAAGAUGGUGAAGAAAGCCAAGACUAUGAUGAAGAAUGCUCAGAAGAAGAUGAAUCGGUUGGGGAAGAAAGGGGAGGCGGAUAGACACGUAUUUGAUAUGAAGCCCAAGCACUUGCUGUCUGGGAAGAGGAAAGCUGGUAAAAAGGACAGGAGAUAGUAUCCGUUUGGUUGGCGUGGCUUGGCUAGACUGUUGCUGUUUAUUUCCUGGUUUGGCACAGUAUGGUUUCAUGAAAUUGGAGCUCUGUAUAAACUGAAAAAGACAAAAUAAGUAAAGCACUUGUUGCUUUGCUGAAAACUAUGGUUAACCCUAUAUAGAUGUGGGAAAUUUUUGUCACUGCAUAAUAUUACAAAUGUUUUGAGUAGACAGUGUUUCCACAUUUAAUGGAGUAUCAGUUGCUUCAGAUUUUCAGAACUGGGAAGAUUUACUGGUGUAACUGGGUUGUUUUUGAUGGCGAAAAACCUUCUUUUCUUUUGUAAGAGCUGGGAGCAAACACGUUUAUGAGUGUGUCGGAAUCCCGUGCUUAAAAUAACCUCUUAAAUUAUUUUCUAGUCUUAUUUUACAAUGUCUCAUUGUAGUCUGUCUUCAACUAUUUUAUCCAAAAUAAACCUCCAGAAGAAAGUAGUUUUCAUUUACUUAGCUCAUGUUUUGGAUUAGUUAUAGUCGCU
Molecule: long non-coding RNA, 958 nt
Filed under: Pan troglodytes (chimpanzee)
Lineage: Eukaryota; Metazoa; Chordata; Mammalia; Primates; Hominidae
Description: long non-coding RNA NONPTRT001556
Source: RNAcentral